RNAcentral lists this ribosomal RNA (496 nucleotides) under uncultured bacterium. RNAcentral's name for it is "partial 16S ribosomal RNA". It matches the Rfam family "Bacterial small subunit ribosomal RNA", at positions 28 to 506 of the family's 1533-position model. The record is from RNAcentral.
GAUGAACGCUGGCGGCGUGCCUAAUACAUGCAAGUCGAGCGAACGGACGAGAAGCUUGCUUCUCUGAUGUUAGCGGCGGACGGGUGAGUAACACGUGGAUAACCUACCUAUAAGACUGGGAUAACUUCGGGAAACCGGAGCUAAUACCGGAUAAUAUUUUGAACCGCAUGAUUCAAAAGUGAAAGACGGUCUUGCUGUCACUUAUAGAUGGAUCCGCGCUGCAUUAGCUAGUUGGUAAGGUAACGGCUUACCAAGGCAACGAUGCAUAGCCGACCUGAGAGGGUGAUCGGCCACACUGGAACUGAGACACGGUCCAGACUCCUACGGGAGGCAGCAGUAGGGAAUCUUCCGCAAUGGGCGAAAGCCUGACGGAGCAACGCCGCGUGAGUGAUGAAGGUCUUCGGAUCGUAAAACUCUGUUAUUAGGGAAGAACAUAUGUGUAAGUAACUGUGCACAUCUUGACGGUACCUAAGCAGAAAGCCACGGCUAACUACGU